This 491-nucleotide ribosomal RNA is filed under the name uncultured bacterium. RNAcentral describes it as "partial 16S ribosomal RNA". It matches the Rfam family "Bacterial small subunit ribosomal RNA", at positions 29 to 507 of the family's 1533-position model. The record is from RNAcentral.
AGUGAACGCUGGCGGUAGGCCUAAACAUGCAAGUCGAACGGCAGCACAGUAAGAGCUUGCUCUUACGGGUGGCGAGUGGCGGACGGGUGAGGAAUACAUCGGAAUCUACUUUUUCGUGGGGGAUAACGUAGGGAAACUUACGCUAAUACCGCAUACGACCUACGGGUGAAAGCAGGGGAUCUUCGGACCUUGCGCGAUUGAAUGAGCCGAUGUCGGAUUAGCUAGUUGGCGGGGUAAAGGCCCACCAAGGCGACGAUCCGUAGCUGGUCUGAGAGGAUGAUCAGCCACACUGGAACUGAGACACGGUCCAGACUCCUACGGGAGGCAGCAGUGGGGAAUAUUGGACAAUGGGCGCAAGCCUGAUCCAGCCAUACCGCGUGGGUGAAGAAGGCCUUCGGGUUGUAAAGCCCUUUUGUUGGGAAAGAAAAGCAGCAGGUUAAUACCCCGCUGUUCUGACGGUACCCAAAGAAUAAGCACCGGCUAACUUCGUG